Molecule: ribosomal RNA, 253 nt
Filed under: uncultured bacterium
Lineage: Bacteria
Description: partial 16S ribosomal RNA
Rfam family: Bacterial small subunit ribosomal RNA
Source: RNAcentral
UACGUAGGGGGCUAGCGUUGUCCGGAUUUAUUGGGCGUAAAGAGCGUGUAGGCGGCCAGGUAGGUCUGCUGUGAAAACUCGAGGCUCAACCUCGAGACGUCGGCGGAAACCAUCUGGCUAGAGUCCGGGAGAGGAGAGUGGAAUUCCUGGUGUAGCGGUGAAAUGCGCAGAUAUCAGGAAGAACACCCGUGGCGAAAGCGGCUCUCUGGAACGGUACUGACGCUGAGACGCGAAAGCGCGGGGAGCAAACAGG